RNAcentral lists this ribosomal RNA (400 nucleotides) under uncultured bacterium. Its description in RNAcentral is "bacterial SSU rRNA". It matches the Rfam family "Bacterial small subunit ribosomal RNA", at positions 355 to 747 of the family's 1533-position model. The record is from RNAcentral.
UGGGGAAUAUUGGACAAUGGGGGCAACCCUGAUCCAGCAAUGCCGCGUGUGUGAAGAAGGCCUGAGGGUUGUAAAGCACUUUCAGUGGGGAGGAGGAUGUUCUGGUUAAGAGCUGGGAUAUUGGACGUUACCCACAGAAGAAGCACCGGCUAACUCCGUGCCAGCAGCCGCGGUAAUACGGAGGGUGCGAGCGUUAAUCGGAAUUACUGGGCGUAAAGGGUGCGUAGGUUGUUUUGUAAGUUAUCUGUGAAAUCCCCGGGCUCAACCUGGGCAGGUCAGAUAAGACUGCGGGACUCGAGUAUAGGAGAGGGUAGUGGAAUUUCCGGUGUAGCGGUGAAAUGCGUAGAGAUCGGAAGGAACACCAGUGGCGAAGGCGGCUACCUGGCCUAAUACUGACACU